ACCCGCUGGACUUAAGCAUAUCACUAAGCGGAGGAAAAGAAACUAACUAGGAUUCCCCCAGUAACUGCGAGUGAAGAGGGAAGAGCUCAUCAUUGGAAUCUGGCAGCGUUGCGCUGUCCGAGUUGUAGAUGAGAAGAGUAGGUCAUCUGGACUGCGUGGUGUCCAAGUACAAUAGGCCGUCAGUGGGACAUCAUAGAGGGUGACAAUCCCGUCCUUGACAACCAACGUACGAGUCCAUUACGAUGCCUAUCUCAGAGAGUCGAGCAGUUUGGGAUUUGCUGCUUAAACAUGGGAGGUAGAUUCCUUCUAAAGCUAAAUACAGGCAAGAGACCGAUAGAGAACAAGUACCGCAAGGGAAAGAUGAAAUAGAACUCUGUGAAGGGAGUCAAAAAGACGUGAAAUUGUUGCGAGAGAAGCGAUUCAAGUCAGCGUAGCUAGGCCCAUCAAGCUUCUUGCUUUGGACUAGCUUUGCCAGCGGUCUUGUCCUUUUAGAGACUUGACUUUUGACGUGCCCUGUCCGGUCUAACGGGCAGGCCCUUCGGGGCCAGUGGCAUGGCUGGUGGAAUGGCUUGCAAUCGACCCGUCUUGAAACACGGACCAAGGAGUCUAACAUGUGUGCGAGUAUAAGGGUGGCAAACCCGUAUGCGCAAAGAAAGUGAUAGCCUUUUAUGGCUGAGAAUGGCCUGAUGACCAGACAAGCAAUAUUAUGUUCCUCGUACGGUCAUUGCCCAAGUCCCGUGGUCAGAUCCCAUGGACAUGGAGUUAGAGCAUACAUGCUAGGACCCGAAAGAUGGUGAACUAUGCCUGGACAAAGCGAAGCCAAAGGAAACUCUGGUGGAGGCUUGUAGCGAUUCUGACGUGCAAAUCGAUCGUCUGAUCUGGGUAUAGGGGCGAAAGACUAAUCGAACCAUCUCAUAGCUGGUUCCUGCCGAAGUUUCCCUCA
This 943-nucleotide ribosomal RNA is filed under the name Cantharellus phloginus. Its description in RNAcentral is "partial large subunit ribosomal RNA". It matches the Rfam family "Eukaryotic large subunit ribosomal RNA", at positions 23 to 975 of the family's 3401-position model. The record is from RNAcentral. Lineage: Eukaryota; Fungi; Basidiomycota; Agaricomycetes; Cantharellales; Hydnaceae.